This 120-nucleotide ribosomal RNA is filed under the name Podospora anserina S mat+. The record is from RNAcentral. Lineage: Eukaryota; Fungi; Ascomycota; Sordariomycetes; Sordariales; Podosporaceae.
ACAUACAACCAUAAGCAGUAGAAAACUCGGGAUCCCGUCCGCUCUCCCCUAGAUAAGCUACUGACUGCCAGACUAGUACUCAGGUGGGUGACCACUGGGGAAUCCCUGGUGUUGUAUGUU